GGCGCGGUGAGUGGGUGUGGAAGAGGGAGGGGAGGCGGAAUGAUGGCUUAGAGGCGGAAGGGGACGGAGGGGAAGUGUUGGAAGGUUAAUGUCGUAAUGUUCUUCCGGUUAACUUCCACUUUCUCCUCCGGUGCUCUCCUUUCUCUGGGUGGUUCAUCAUUCUUUCUCUGGGGCUGUAUUGCCAAUGUGGUUCAGUGCACUCUGGAUGACUCUUAAGAAUGUAUUUCCUUUUGUCCUUAAACUAUAUAGUGAGGAUGACAAGCAAGUGGUAGGUGGAAGAAAUCAAUGGAGUAUGUUAGUGGAAGAAGCUGAGCAUGCCAAAAAUGUGGAGGAAAAGAUGAGGAAUGGGAUAAAAUUAGUUCAAACGAUGGGAAAUGGGGUAAAAUUAGUAAAAAAAUGGUAAAUAGGGUAGAAGGAGAUAGGUUAAAUGGGUAAAAUUGGUUAAGAAAUGGUGAGAAAUUGGGUAAAAUCAGUUUAAAAAUUGGGACACACAUGCUUGGCUCAGUCCUGCGGAAACAAAGCUUAAAACGUGCCUGUAAAAGUAUAAUUGGGUAGGAAUGUAAAAAAAUAAUGUAAGAAAGAUUAGGGGAAAAACAAUGAAGAAUAGGCCUGUGAAAUCAAAACAAUGAAGAAUAGGCCUGUGAAAUCAAAACAAUGAAGAAUAGGCCUGUGAAAUCAAAACAAUGAAGAAUAGGCCUGUGAAAUCAAAACAAUGAAGGCCUGUGAAAUCAAAACAAUGAAGGCCUGUGAAAUCAAAACAAUGAAGAAAAGGCCUGUGAAAUCAAAACAAUGAAGAAAAGGCCUGUGAAAUCAAAACAAUGAAGGCCUGUGAAAUCAAAACAAUGAAGAAAAGGCCUGUGAAAUCAAAACAGUGAAGAAAAGGCUGUGAAAUCAAAACAAUGAAGAAUAGGCCUGUGAAAUCAAAACAAUGAAGGCCUGUGAAAUCAAAACAAUGAAGGCCUGUGAAAUCAAAACAAUGAAGAAUAGGCCUGUGAAAUCAAAACAAACUUAGGGAAAAUUUGACAAAAACAAUUAGGUGUUAGAACAAGCCUGUAAAAAACAACACUAGGUCAAGACAAUAACAACAACAACAACAAUGAAUAAAUAAGCAAGCAAAGAACAUCCACAAAUAAUAAAAAUAAGACACGGGAAAAACAAACAAAAAAGGAAAACAGGAAAAAAAAAGAAAAAAGAAAAA
Long non-coding RNA from Eriocheir sinensis (Chinese mitten crab), 1198 nucleotides. RefSeq lists it as uncharacterized. The transcript has 2 exons. The record is from RefSeq and is a predicted model, not a curated record. NCBI's taxonomy places the organism in Eukaryota, Metazoa, Arthropoda, Malacostraca, Decapoda, Varunidae.